RNAcentral lists this ribosomal RNA (497 nucleotides) under uncultured bacterium. RNAcentral's name for it is "partial 16S ribosomal RNA". It matches the Rfam family "Bacterial small subunit ribosomal RNA", at positions 28 to 507 of the family's 1533-position model. The record is from RNAcentral.
GAUGAACGCUGGCGGCGUGCCUAAUACAUGCAAGUCGAGCGAACAGACGAGGAGCUUGCUCCUCUGACGUUAGCGGCGGACGGGUGAGUAACACGUGGAUAACCUUCCUAUAAGACUGGGAUAACUUCGGGAAACCGGAGCUAAUACCGGAUAAUAUAUUGAACCGCAUGGUUCAAUAGUGAAAGACGGUUUUGCUGUCACUUAUAGAUGGAUCCGCGCCGCAUUAGCUAGUUGGUAAGGUAACGGCUUACCAAGGCGACGAUGCGUAGCCGACCUGAGAGGGUGAUCGGCCACACUGGAACUGAGACACGGUCCAGACUCCUACGGGAGGCAGCAGUAGGGAAUCUUCCGCAAUGGGCGAAAGCCUGACGGAGCAACGCCGCGUGAGUGAUGAAGGUCUUCGGAUCGUAAAACUCUGUUAUUAGGGAAGAACAAAUGUGUAAGUAACUAUGCACGUCUUGACGGUACCUAAUCAGAAAGCCACGGCUAACUACGUG